Molecule: ribosomal RNA, 2204 nt
Filed under: Salmonella enterica subsp. enterica serovar Enteritidis
Lineage: Bacteria; Pseudomonadati; Pseudomonadota; Gammaproteobacteria; Enterobacterales; Enterobacteriaceae
Description: partial 23S ribosomal RNA
Rfam family: Bacterial large subunit ribosomal RNA
Source: RNAcentral
UAACACUAACUGGAGGACCGAACCGACUAAUGUUGAAAAAUUAGCGGAUGACCUGUGGCUGGGGGUGAAAGGCCAAUCAAACCGGGAGAUAGCUGGUUCUCCCCGAAAGCUAUUUAGGUAGCGCCUCGUGAAUUCAUCUCCGGGGGUAGAGCACUGUUUCGGCUAGGGGGCCAUCCCGGCUUACCAACCCGAUGCAAACUGCGAAUACCGGAGAAUGUUAUCACGGGAGACACACGGCGGGUGCUAACGUCCGUCGUGAAGAGGGAAACAACCCAGACCGCCAGCUAAGGUCCCAAAGUCAUGGUUAAGUGGGAAACGAUGUGGGAAGGCCCAGACAGCCAGGAUGUUGGCUUAGAAGCAGCCAUCAUUUAAAGAAAGCGUAAUAGCUCACUGGUCGAGUCGGCCUGCGCGGAAGAUGUAACGGGGCUAAACCAUGCACCGAAGCUGCGGCAGCGACACUGUGUGUUGUUGGGUAGGGGAGCGUUCUGUAAGCCUGUGAAGGUGUGUCGUGAGGCAUGCUGGAGGUAUCAGAAGUGCGAAUGCUGACAUAAGUAACGAUAAAGCGGGUGAAAAGCCCGCUCGCCGGAAGACCAAGGGUUCCUGUCCAACGUUAAUCGGGGCAGGGUGAGUCGACCCCUAAGGCGAGGCCGAAAGGCGUAGUCGAUGGGAAACGGGUUAAUAUUCCCGUACUUGGUGUUACUGCGAAGGGGGGACGGAGAAGGCUAUGUUGGCCGGGCGACGGUUGUCCCGGUUUAAGCGUGUAGGUGUGUGUUCCAGGUAAAUCCGGUUCACUUUAACACUGAGGCGUGACGACGAGGCACUACGGUGCUGAAGCAACAAAUGCCCUGCUUCCAGGAAAAGCCUCUAAGCAUCAGGUAACAUCAAAUCGUACCCCAAACCGACACAGGUGGUCAGGUAGAGAAUACCAAGGCGCUUGAGAGAACUCGGGUGAAGGAACUAGGCAAAAUGGUGCCGUAACUUCGGGAGAAGGCACGCUGACACGUAGGUGAAGUGAUUUACUCAUGGAGCUGAAGUCAGUCGAAGAUACCAGCUGGCUGCAACUGUUUAUUAAAAACACAGCACUGUGCAAACACGAAAGUGGACGUAUACGGUGUGACGCCUGCCCGGUGCCGGAAGGUUAAUUGAUGGGGUCAGCGCAAGCGAAGCUCCUGAUCGAAGCCCCGGUAAACGGCGGCCGUAACUAUAACGGUCCUAAGGUAGCGAAAUUCCUUGUCGGGUAAGUUCCGACCUGCACGAAUGGCGUAAUGAUGGCCAGGCUGUCUCCACCCGAGACUCAGUGAAAUUGAACUCGCUGUGAAGAUGCAGUGUACCCGCGGCAAGACGGAAAGACCCCGUGAACCUUUACUAUAGCUUGACACUGAACAUUGAGCCUUGAUGUGUAGGAUAGGUGGGAGGCUUUGAAGUGUGGACGCCAGUCUGCAUGGAGCCGACCUUGAAAUACCACCCUUUAAUGUUUGAUGUUCUAACGUGGACCCGUUACCCGGGUUGCGGACAGUGUCUGGUGGGUAGUUUGACUGGGGCGGUCUCCUCCUAAAGAGUAACGGAGGAGCACGAAGGUUGGCUAAUCCUGGUCGGACAUCAGGAGGUUAGUGCAAUGGCAUAAGCCAGCUUGACUGCGAGCGUGACGGCGCGAGCAGGUGCGAAAGCAGGUCAUAGUGAUCCGGUGGUUCUGAAUGGAAGGGCCAUCGCUCAACGGAUAAAAGGUACUCCGGGGAUAACAGGCUGAUACCGCCCAAGAGUUCAUAUCGACGGCGGUGUUUGGCACCUCGAUGUCGGCUCAUCACAUCCUGGGGCUGAAGUAGGUCCCAAGGGUAUGGCUGUUCGCCAUUUAAAGUGGUACGCGAGCUGGGUUUAGAACGUCGUGAGACAGUUCGGUCCCUAUCUGCCGUGGGCGCUGGAGAACUGAGGGGGGCUGCUCCUAGUACGAGAGGACCGGAGUGGACGCAUCACUGGUGUUCGGGUUGUCAUGCCAAUGGCACUGCCCGGUAGCUAAAUUCGGAAGAGAUAAGUGCUGAAAGCAUCUAAGCACGAAACUUGCCCCGAGAUGAGUUCUCCCUGAGACUUAGAGUCUCCUGAAGGAACGUUGAAGACGACGACGUUGAUAGGCCGGGUGUGUAAGCGCAGCGAUGCGUUGAGCUAACCGGUACUAAUGAACCGUGAGGCUUAACCUUACAACGCCGAAG